GGCAACCUACGGGGCGCAGCAGUGGGGAAUAUUGGGCAAUGGGCGCAAGCCUGACCCAGCAACGCCGCGUGAAGGAAGAAGGCUUUCGGGUUGUAAACUUCUUUUGUCAGGGACGAAGCAAGUGACGGUACCUGAAGAACAAGCCCCGGCUAACUACGUGCCAGCAGCCGCGGUAAAACGUAGGGGGCGAGCGUUGUCCGGAAUGACUGGGCGUAAAGGGUGCGUAGGCGGCAUAAUAAGUUAGAAGUGAAAUACCCAGAGCUUAACUCGGGUGCUGCUUCUAAGACUGUUGAGCUUGAGUGCGG
RNAcentral lists this ribosomal RNA (305 nucleotides) under uncultured bacterium. Its description in RNAcentral is "bacterial SSU rRNA". It matches the Rfam family "Bacterial small subunit ribosomal RNA", at positions 333 to 651 of the family's 1533-position model. The record is from RNAcentral.